This 406-nucleotide ribosomal RNA is filed under the name uncultured bacterium. RNAcentral's name for it is "partial 16S ribosomal RNA". It matches the Rfam family "Bacterial small subunit ribosomal RNA", at positions 30 to 526 of the family's 1533-position model. The record is from RNAcentral.
AUUGAACGCUGGCGGCAGGCCUAACACAUGCAAGUCGAGCGAGCGGCGGACGGGUGAGUAAUGUCUGGGAAACUGCCUGAUGGAGGGGGAUAACUACUGGAAACGGUAGCUAAUACCGCAUACCAUCGGAUGUGCCCAGAUGGGAUUAGCUAGUAGGUGGGGUAAAGGCUCACCUAGGCGACGAUCCGUAGCUGGUCUGAGAGGAUGAUCAGCCACACUGGAACUGAGACACGGUCCAGACUCCUACGGGAGGCAGCAGUGGGGAAUAUUGCACAAUGGGCGCAAGCCUGAUGCAGCCAUGCCGCGUGUGUGAAGAAGGCCUUCGGGUUGUAAAGUACUUUCAGCGGGGAGGCGUUACCCACAGAAGAAGCACCGGCUAACUCCGUGCCAGCAGCCGCGGUAAUUC